This is a long non-coding RNA of Daphnia magna, 5414 nucleotides long. RefSeq lists it as uncharacterized. The record is from RefSeq and is a predicted model, not a curated record. Lineage: Eukaryota; Metazoa; Arthropoda; Branchiopoda; Diplostraca; Daphniidae. The transcript is spliced from 5 exons.
UGAUGGGUCCAGCAGAUGGAUAACAAAUGGACAACUCAAAGGUGGGCAGCAAAAUGUCAAGAUUUUCAAAAAAGGAAGAACGUAUAAACAAACAGGUGAAUCCCCUUGGAUAGCCAAAGGUGACAUUUCCAAUAGCCAAGCGUGUGAUUCUUAUUUUUGUUUCUCUCUCUCUCUAUCACGAUGGCCUUCGAACUGCAUUUAGCAGCGCCAAACGCAAAUUGCAAUUAUAUUAUUUCACGCUCCGCUUAAAGUCAGACCAUAUAUUUUCUCGUUUUCUGAAGGGGAUUGUUUUCAAGAUCAGUUGACGCCAGAGGCUUAUUCAGAUUUAUUCUUCCACGUAUAGCCUUGGAGAAAACGAAAUCUGUUGAAUACGAUGCGGACUGUGUUGUUGGCCGUUUGAGUUGCAAUCAGGACGCCGGUUGGAGAAAUAGAUUGCAAGCCAUUGAAGUGUAUUGUUUAUCUCGAGAUGCUUCCAUUCUCGUGUUCACCCGUGAACAUGGAAGAGUGCAAAGGAAGAAAAGCCAUUACAACUAAAAGAAAACAAAACACUCGACAGACUUAGCAGGAAUGGCUAUCAGUUGAACUAUUAGAAUCAAACGAUGUCCACCUUCUUUGUUCCUAUAGUCUGACCAUGGAACACUGCCGGUUCGACGGCCUAGCCCGCAGCCUUGUGGUGUUCUAUACGAUGUAGAAAAGCAUUUCGAGAGCGUGCAAUUGUUAAAAUAGCUACGACGCAGUGUAUUAUAAUCAUAUGAUUUAUACGAUCUACAACAAUAAAACAGUUUGCUGUAGUCCAGCUGAUAACACGUUGUCGGUCAUUAAAUACGUUUAUUGACAAGGACCAGGACACCUUUAAUUUAAUUUGUAUAAUUUAAUGAAGGGAGCCGUUUUUUUCUUUAAUUAUUAUUAUUUGAGUUUUUUUGUGCAUGGGCGAAAAAGGCAUUCCCCGUUAUGUGUAGCGGGUGAUUCCUACCUUGUUUGAAUAAAUCUGCAUAGUAAUCCCCUCGGCAUCUUGGCUGCAUUCCAUAACGACUUUUGGUGCUGAUGAACUAACUAAAAUCAAAGUGCAAAUACCCAGCAUGCCAAAUUCGCCAGCGACAUUCAAUUGACUUUGGGGUGAUGUCUGAUUGCGAUCGUCAUUCUCUCGCAUUCAUUAGUGCGCGUUUCCAUUGUCAAAGGAAGUCUCACGAAUAACAACAUGCAGUCGCAAUUUUUAAUGUUUAUAUUUUCAGUCUCAGCCAAAGAGCGAAGCAAUCUGACGAUAAAAAUGCGUGGGAUAGAAAUUCGCCAUAGUUUUGAAGAAGAAAAAACAACCACAGUUGUAAUGACAAAGUAACUGGUGUGAAGGGUGGAAUGGAGUCGGCUAAAUCAGACAACGCAAUUCGAGUUCGUUCGUGACUUUCAUUCGACUUUCAGACUCUGGCGUUUUGUAAAUGUAAAAUACUUUACUUAUAUUCCCAUCAAUUGUAAUUGCUCGAUCCAUCAUUAUAUAAACAUUGCUGGCGUGUCGUGAAACAAAACCCGUUCUUUUGAUUCGCUGUUGAACUGGUUGUGUGUUUGGAACUCGAUCUGGCGAGCGUUCACCUGACCAUCAACGAAGGAAUGAGAAACAAAAGAAAUUGUUUGCAAGCACAGAAUAUCGAUAGACUUGCGUGAUUGAAUGCCGCAAAUUCACCUUCCGUUCUAAUAUCUACAUGACAACGUAUGACAAACAUAUUGAACAUUACUAAGUCUCCACGUAUGUACUUGCGUAACAAUGACAGCUGUUUCUAGUUCCUGUUUCCAGACUCCAAAGUGGGGCUUUUCGAAUCAUGGUUUGCGUGUGUAUCUCUACAAAAACGAUUGUUAACUGUAUCCUUUUAUUUUAUUUUUUAAAUGUAAAUUAUGACAAACAAAAUAUUUUCCCGGAUAACUUCAUUUUUGCAUUUAUUGUGGGACUAGAAUCGAUUGUUUACGACAGAGUUUCAUCUUGAACUGUGUAGUACUGUACAUUGUGAGGGAACUUCGUCUAGAAUGCCGAAGGGAAACAAAAACUGAAAAAAACCAACAAGACACCUGUAAACGUCCUGAGUGUUAAUUCACUGACUUUUUAAAAUUGUCCUAAAUUUGAAAAGCAGUUGUCAAAUGUUUCACAGUACACAUCAACAGGUGUGUGUGUGUGUAAUGAAUCCUGCACAAAAUGCAAAACAGUUUUUUUAAAGCCAUCUGUGGACAACAUAUCUAGAUUAUUACAUAUUUAAUUAUAUUCAAGUCUAGACACGUUGUGCCAUCUGUGGACCACAACAUAUUUAUAUUAUUGUGUAUAUUUAAUCAUUUACUUUUCAAAUUGAGGUAGAAUGGAUAUUUCAAGUCUAGACACGAUUUUUCCAUAAAUAUCCGACCCUUCCAAGUGGCGGGAAAAGCUGUGUGUCGCUAUUGUGUUUGCAAAGGGUUGUUUUCUAACCCCCUCCCUCUCACUUUCUAAAAAGAAAACGAUGUUUUUCUCCAUGUCGCUGCAGUAAUGUUAACCUUGAACAAAAAUUGCAGUGGUACUAGCAGUUUCCCGCCAAUCGGAGACGAGUGUACAAAGCAAGACAAUGUAUAGAAAAGACUUGUGCGAUUGGAUGCCAUAUUUGAUCAAACUCACCCUGUUACACGUUGGAUCAGAUGACGUGUACACGUCACUCCACUUCCCGGGAACGAGGGUAGUUUCUUCAUCAUUGGCAGUCGACCUCGCGCGAUUCUUCGUAGUUUGACCGCUGUAAUGAGAGAAGCACGAGACCUGCUGUUGCCAAAGCAACGACGUAAGAUUCUUUGCCGAGGAGCUUCAUCCCGAACGUUGUCCACUGUGUGCGAUCUUUGCCACAUAAAACUGAACCAACCCGUUUGUUGUUUUCGCUGUUUCAAACUGGUUGGGUGAUGGACCUCUUUCUUGUUCGAUGCGGACGUUCAUCCAACGAUGAAACACUUUGGUCAACAGCGACAACUGAGAUUCAACCAAAUCGCUGAUCAAACGACAAGAAAAGAAAAAGAAUUUUCAGCUUCGAGUUGGGAAAUUUUAUUGGCAAAAAAGCGAUCGCAGAAAUCGAUGUAACACAAUGAGUAAUUCAACAACCGUUUAAGUGGACAAGAUAAUACGUGUAGAUUAUGAAGAUGUCGUUGGUUCGUUGAACAAGGCGCCCGGCGCCAUUAGCCACCUUACGUUUUCUAAACGAACAAUGAAAGGCAAUCGCUGGCGUUGUUUUCAAUCGAUAGGUUUUUUUCGAUCCAAAAUCGAUUGAACAACAUCACAAUCGUUUUAUUCCUGUUGGUUGGCGAAGUCGAUUUCGCCGCCGCUGGCCGGACUGGAAUCGGCGGAGGGAGCAACGCCGGCCUCAGCGACCGCAGUGCCGUUGGACUUUUGUCCUUCACGCCAUCCUAGGUAAUUGCUGCCGUAACCACUUUCUGUAGAUAAUGGCCGAAAUUAGCAAAAUAAGGAAAUCGUUAACAAUCAAGUCAUUCAAGUAUGAAAGAAACAUGUUUCAAGGCUCGAUUAAUUUUUAACCUGAAAAAAGAAUGGCACAGAGGACGCUGCCAUUUUGUUUUUACAUACCAAUGCUAAGGCUGUUGUAUCCCGAGUUUCCAUACGCGACAUGUCCUCCGCCAACGUUGUCCCCGUACAGUCCCGUAUUGUAUCCAGUGUUCGUUCCGUAUCCAGUGUUCGUUCCAAAUCCGGUGUUUCCGUAUCCAGUAUUGAUUCCAGUAUUUGUUCCGUAUCCAGUGUUCGUUCCGUAUCCAGCGUUAGUUCCGUAGCCAACGUUAGUUCCGUAUCCAGCGUUAGUUCCGUAUCCAGCGUUAGUUCCAUGUCCAGUGUUCGUUCCAAAGCCGGUAUUGGUUGCAUAACCCGCGUUCGAUCCGUAACCCGUGUUUAUUCCGGAACCCGUACCGUAGCCUGUGCUGCCGUAGCCGGUGUUGCCGUAUCCGGUAUUGCCGUGGCCGGUAUUGCCGUAGCCGCUGUGACCGUAUCCCGCGUUACCACCGAAAGCUAUGCAACACAUAUGAUUUUAAUAACAUUGUUCACCUUAUUGUUAACUGAUUUCCACGAAAAAGAUCAAACUUACUUCCUCCGUGGUUGAUGUUUUGCCCGUAUCCGGCACUGGCUCCCGGAGUAUGGUAACCACUUCCGCCAAAUCCUGAUACAAACCCAACAGCAAUGCCAACCCAUUAUUUAAAAAUUUCGUUUUAUCAAUUCUUGAUCACAAGUCUCAAGAGUUUUAUCGUAAAUGAUUACCACCGGCAGCGUUGUUGGCGUGGUAGCCAGCGUUUUGGUGGCCAAGCUGUUGCUGCAUGGUCAGACUGCUACUUUGCUGCUGAUGAAUGCUGCUCUGUUGUUGAUAAACUGUACUGCUCUGUAAUUGACCUAUCCACCCCCGAAAAUGUUUUGUUUUCAAAAUUCAAUUGUUCAUUUAAAUUAGAUUCUCUCAUUACCUGCUUGGUGGCCAUAAUUGGGACGGUAUCGCUCGUCAACCUUUUCACCUUCAGCCAAUUCGGAUGGGGCGGCUGCUGGAUUGGCCAGCUCGUCCACAGGUGCCACAGCAUCCAAUACCUCCGGUGAGACAACAAUGGGAGCCUCUUCUUCAGGGUACGGCAUGGCAACAGCCAACGCCAACAUCAAUAACUAUCGAUACAACAUGUUGAAUGAAAAUUGAAACAAACCAACAUCAAACGUGAGACAUUUCAAAUCAGAAAUGAAAUUGGAAAAUAACAAAAAGUAAAAUGAAAAUGACUUACCGUUAAAAUGAAGCGAAACAUUUUUUCCCUAGGAUUAUGGAGAGCUUCUCUUCCGGCGGAUGAUGUGAUCGCUUGGACGGUUCGUGUGCGGAUGUGUCCUACUCGCUUUGGAUGGUGCCGUAUUUAUAGUCAAACCGACUGUACCGAGCCAUGUGAACAAAGCAACAGCGUCAGCAUACGAAGGUCGAUGCGGCGUAUAGGUGUGUUCCAAUGCGUUCAUUGGAUAUCUCCCUCAAACAGGAAUAACAUGAUGCACACGUUCAUGUAGUAUCAGACUUGGGAGACAUUUGUCAACAUUGAAUCAAGGACGCAGCUGAUUGAAAAGAAUACUGCGCACCCGCUUAAACGAAAUUAACGCAAAGCAAUUGGAAAAAUAUCCUUGAGUGGCUUGUGUCAAUACAAAAUGCAAUUAUCAGCAACACCUUGUUUCACCUUUCUAAUGGACACGCGUCUGCGGCAAAGCAAACGUGAACGGGGUAUAAAAUGACGUCCGAUGAGAUGGAAAAGGGACAUCGAGCUUCAUCGCUGACUUCGAUAGGCCAUUCAUUUCCAACGAGUGCUCUCACGAAAAUGCGUUUCAUCAUCCAGCUGGUACUGCUCGUCACUAUUUGUGCGGCCCUUUAUUCUCGAGUUGACGCAGACCCGGUAGACAACGAUCAUCAAGG